CCGGAAGUGCGGGGCGGGCGCGGGGGCUGAGCGAAAGGCUGAGGACCGGCCCAGGUGGGGAAGACGUCGCUGAUCCUGUCCCUGGUGGGCGAGGAGUUCCCCGAGGAGGUAAAGGGCACGCCCGCCGCGGGGGUGGGAGCGGGCCCAGCCGGGGGUCCCUGGUGAGCGCGCGGGUCCCUUGCAGGUCCCUCCCCGCGCGGAGGAGAUCACGAUCCCCGCGGACGUCACCCCGGAGAAGGUGCCCACCCACAUCGUGGACUACUCAGAAGCCGAGCAGACGGACGAGGAGCUGCGCGAGGAGAUCCACAAGGCAAACGUGGUGUGUGUGGUGUAUGACGUCUCCGAGGAGGCCACCAUUGAGAAGAUUCGAACUAAGUGGAUCCCACUGGUGAAUGGGGGGACCACGCGGGGGCCCAGUGGGCAACAAGUCAGACCUGCGGUCGGGGAGCUCCAUGGAGGCCGUGCUCCCCAUCAUGAGCCAGUUUCCGGAGAUCGAGACCUGCGUGGAGUGUUCGGCCAAGAACCUGAGAAACAUCUCAGAGCUGUUCUACUACGCCCAGAAGGCUGUCCUGCACCCCACAGCCCCUCUCUAUGACCCUGAGGCCAAGCAGGUGCCCCCGCCCCACCCUCAGUGCCCAGCCCCCUUGAACCUCCGCUGCUGUUAGUGACUGGAACGGGCCGUCUCCGGGUGGCUGGCUGACUCCCAACAACGUUCUCUCGGAAGCAGAAAUCCUGCUUUGGGCACCCCCUGGCCCCACAGGCCCUGGAGGACGUGAAGACGGUGGUGUGCAGGAACGUGGCGGGCGGCGUGUGGGAGGACCGACUGACCCUGGAUGGUGAGGCUGGGUGCCCGCCUGUGCCUGGGGAGUGUGGGGAGGGGGCUGUGCCUGGUGCUCCCCCUGCUCUGUCUCGGUGCAGGUUUCCUCUUCCUGAACACGCUCUUCAUCCAGCGCGGGCGGCACGAGACCACGUGGACCAUCCUGCGGCGCUUCGGCUAC
This 998-nucleotide small RNA is filed under the name Pongo abelii (Sumatran orangutan). Its description in RNAcentral is "retained intron". Lineage: Eukaryota; Metazoa; Chordata; Mammalia; Primates; Hominidae. The record is from RNAcentral.